AGUGAACGCUGGCGGUAGGCCUAACACAUGCAAGUCGAACGGCAGCACAGUAAGAGCUUGCCCUUACGGGUGGCGAGUGGCGGACGGGUGACGAAUACAUCGGAAUCUACUUUUUCGUGGGGGAUAACGUAGGGAAACUUACGCUAAUAUCGCAUACCCCCUACGGGUGAAAGCAGGGGAUCUUCGGACCUUGCGCGAUUGAAUGAGCCGAUGUCGGAUUAGCUAGUUGGCGGGGUAAAGGCCCACCAAGGCGACGAUCCGUAGCUGGUCUGAGAGGAUGAUCGGCCACCCUGGAACUGAGACACGGUCCAGACUCCUACGGGAGGCAGCAGUCGGGAAUAUUGGGCAAUGGGCGAAAGCCUGAUCCAGCCAUACCGCGUGGGUGAAGAAGGCCUUCGGGUUGUAAAGCCCUUUUGUUGGGCAAGAAAAGCAGCAGGAUAAUACCCCGCUGUUCUGACGGUACCCAAAGAAUAAGCACCGGCUAACUACGUG
Molecule: ribosomal RNA, 492 nt
Filed under: uncultured bacterium
Lineage: Bacteria
Description: partial 16S ribosomal RNA
Rfam family: Bacterial small subunit ribosomal RNA
Source: RNAcentral